Molecule: long non-coding RNA, 939 nt
Organism: Megalopta genalis
Lineage: Eukaryota; Metazoa; Arthropoda; Insecta; Hymenoptera; Halictidae
Source: RefSeq, a predicted model, not a curated record
UCGCCGCGCCGGACGAAACGGCGCGGCGCGAAGCGCAGAGGCAUUCGAAAGUGGCCGGGGCCUCGUACGACACGACAACGCAAUUGCGUGUGCACAGAUCAUUGACUCCGACCACGCAACAAUCCCCGGCUGCGAUCCUGACCACGUAAACAUUGUGCAACAAAACCCAAUGACCCAAAGAUCCGCAGUUUAACGAUCAGUGUCGACAGCCUCCAAAAACUUUGCUUUGAGGUGUCGCAUCAUUCUUUGUAUAAACAACUAUUCAGUCCCCUGAACAGAAAACUUUUUAAUCAGCGAAUCGAAAGCUUACCGUCGAGUACUCUGGCGCUAGAACGACCAAAGAAGAGGCUUCUCGAGGAUCAUGAUCUCGAGUAAUCAGCAUUUGGCAAGAUGCGAUCCUUAAGACAUUGCGACAAAGAGGUUGCAGCAAUAGUAACGAUGGAUUAAAAACGAACCAGAGGUCAAUGUGGAACAAGACCGAGUGGAUCUGACAGAGAUAUUUUCGAGGCACGCGCAACCCAGCCGAAUCUAACAUCAAAAAGAAUCGAGGUUUCGUCGAGCAAGGAUCGAGGUCAGACAGAGAAAGCUGCAGCUCGGCUACAGUGAUACAAGGACCUUAUGUAAUUCAUAAUCGCCAUCCGUUUUAUCGAUAUGAAAGACAAGUGAGAAAUUAAUUAUCUCGCAUGCAACGUUGUACAAGUCGUCGAGCGUGUACGUCGACGCGACUCAUCUCUUUUUAACGAAUAAGAACGCUGUUGAAAACAGCCGCCGAUUGCGUUCCCACGAGUGAAUUUCUGGAGAUUUCAAUGCCUCUCUUGUUGGGACGCAUUGCAAACAGCCGCGUCAGACAGAAAAUGUUUCGACAGACAGAAAAUAACCUAAGAGUUGCAUCGUUCUUAAUAAUAAUUAUGUAACUCUGAUUCAGUGGAUUAAUCUCAA